GCCCCCUUCCUUCGGCCCCGCCCCGCCCCACUGGCCGCCCGCUCCCUGGGGGACCGAGGGAGGAACGGGCGGGGUCCUCAGGUGCCCGGCGACGUCAUCCAGCCCCCUAGGCUCCAGGGCGCAAAGGGUCCCCUGAUCUGGCAGUCCCUGGACCCACCCUGGAGAGCGUGGGGGCCCAAAGGCCGGACGCGCCGUCCGCCGCGGCCUCCGGGAAGGCCUCCCUUGCCAGGACAGCGGAGUUGGCCGGAUGUGGACAGCAGGAAGGGCCAGCGGGAGGGGGGUUGGAAAGAUCCACUCCUGGUUAAUAACUCUGCCGGGUUAACCUAGGGCCGGCCAUGUCCAGUACGGACUUGAGUAAAAUUCAGCAGGAAAGGGAGCAGAGUGGGCGCUGCUAGAGGGAGGCUUCAGGACUGAGGGUCAGAGGCCCAAGGCCUGGCAGGGCCCUUCCGUCGUGAGCUCCAGGGGAGCUCCAGCUCCAUCAGCUUGGCCUGAUGACCGGUGGGCCACGGGCCUCUUCCAGCCUCAGGCUGACCCCAGAGAAAGGGCAGCCCACAAGCCCGGGAGGCCGACUUGCUGCCUGGUCAUUGCUGCAGAGCCUGGAGGGGGCCCAGGCUCAGUCCCUGCUGACCUUCGGCUCCCUUUAUCCUGCCAUAGCCAUCUGUGUAACCCAGGGGAAAUGAUUCCAAAGGGACUUCCACUUCUGAUAAUCUAUGAUUCUGUUUUUUAAAAAACAAAACUCUAAAUUGCUUAAUGUCAAACAUCUGUCAUCAGCUGACCAGGAAAAGGAACAGUAGGUACAAAGCAAGGCAACAUCAGAAAGGGGAGCCCUGAGGAAUUUCUCCCUCCUUCCCCAAGCUGGGUGAGGUCGUGACUGCAGCCUGACUCACGGGUUUUAUUUCGCUUAGUAACCUAAAGAUGGCGAGGAUCCGCUAGUUCUGCCUCAGGCCUGGAGGCUGCCUGCCGUGGGUGACUCUCAUCGGUCCUUCCAAAGUGCCUACGGAAAGCUUUGGCCCAUCCUUGAAAAAUUGCUAAUGGGUUUGGAGAUCCAAGGUGGAGAUGACUAGCAAUCAAGCUCAAAGGUGGAAAAGUCACGUCGAGGCAGAUGAGCAGAUGAGGGGACCUCGAGAAGAAGAGAGGGGCACGGAGAGCCCAGCCAGCAGGAACAGUUGCCCCAGUAGGCAGCACUGCCCCACAUCAGAGUCGAGGAAAGCAAAGCUCAGACUGGAUAAAAGAAAGCUGCAAACACGGUCAGCGCCACUGCAUGUGGGCUCAGAGCACGUGACCCUCCUUCCCUGUGUGUGCCUGUGAAAUGGGUUUACUGCUCUAACUCUCAGGGACACUGUGAAGAUCAAACGAGAAAAUAGAAAUAAACAUGAUUUAUAAACCAUAAAGUACUGAUACCAAAAGAGGGGCGAGCUCAACAUUGCGAAUGUGCUGAUACUAAACGGUUCACUUUAAGAUGGUUUUACGGUGUGUGAAUUUCACUUGAAUAAAUUUUUUUAAUGGAGUUCA
Molecule: long non-coding RNA, 1512 nt
Organism: Piliocolobus tephrosceles (Ugandan red Colobus)
Lineage: Eukaryota; Metazoa; Chordata; Mammalia; Primates; Cercopithecidae
Exons: 2
Source: RefSeq, a predicted model, not a curated record